This 301-nucleotide ribosomal RNA is filed under the name uncultured bacterium. RNAcentral's name for it is "partial 16S ribosomal RNA". It matches the Rfam family "Bacterial small subunit ribosomal RNA", at positions 509 to 809 of the family's 1533-position model. The record is from RNAcentral.
CAGUAGCCGCGGUAAUACGUAGGGUGCAAGCGUUAAUCGGAAUUACUGGGCGUAAAGCGUGCGCAGGCGGUUAUAUAAGACAGAUGUGAAAUCCCCGGGCUCAACCUGGGAACUGCAUUUGUGACUGUAUGGCUAGAGUACGGCAGAGGGGGAUGGAAUUCCGCGUGUAGCAGUGAAAUGCGUAGAUAUGCGGAGGAACACCGAUGGCGAAGGCAAUCCCCUGGGCCUGUACUGACGCUCAUGCACGAAAGCGUGGGGAGCAAACAGGAUUAGAGACCCCUGUAGUCCCUGUCUCUUAUAA